Molecule: ribosomal RNA, 253 nt
Filed under: uncultured bacterium
Lineage: Bacteria
Description: partial 16S ribosomal RNA
Rfam family: Bacterial small subunit ribosomal RNA
Source: RNAcentral
UACAGAGGGUGCGAGCGUUGUUCGGAAUUACUGGGCGUAAAGGGCGCGUAGGCGGUUUGACAAGUCGAUUGUGAAAGCCCGGGGCUUAACCUCGGAAGUGCAGUCGAAACUGUCAGACUAGAGUGCAGUAGAGGAUGGUGGAAUACCCAGUGUAGAGGUGAAAUUCGUAGAUAUUGGGUGGAACACCGGUGGCGAAGGCGGCCAUCUGGGCUGCAACUGACGCUGAGGCGCGAAAGCGUGGGGAUCAAACAGG